Molecule: unclassified non-coding RNA, 182 nt
Filed under: uncultured fungus
Lineage: Eukaryota; Fungi
Description: sequence contains ITS1
Source: RNAcentral
GUAUUUUGAAUUGUUUAUUCAUAAUAUUUUUCAGACAAAGAGUUAAAAGAUAAAGGUUGAUGUUUGGUCGAUCUCCAAGAAGAAGAUCGACUGACAUUGCACACAAGGUGGAUAUGGAUUUUUAAAGAGUGCCAUAAAACACUCGUUUGUGAAUGAUCCUUCCGCAGGUUCACCUACGGAAA